RNAcentral lists this ribosomal RNA (395 nucleotides) under uncultured bacterium. Its description in RNAcentral is "partial 16S ribosomal RNA". It matches the Rfam family "Bacterial small subunit ribosomal RNA", at positions 523 to 918 of the family's 1533-position model. The record is from RNAcentral.
AUACGUAGAGUGCAAGCGUUAAUCGGAAUUACUGGGCGUAAAGCGUGCGCAGGCGGUUUUGUAAGACAGUGGUGAAAUCCCCGGGCUCAACCUGGGAACUGCCAUUGUGACUGCAAGGCUGGAGUGCGGCAGAGGGGGAUGGAAUUCCGCGUGUAGCAGUGAAAUGCGUAGAUAUGCGGAGGAACACCGAUGGCGAAGGCAAUCCCCUGGGCCUGCACUGACGCUCAUGCACGAAGGCGUGGGGAGCAAACAGGAUUAGAUACCCUGGUAGUCCACGCCCUAAACGAGGUCAACUGGUUGUUGGGUCUUCAUUGACUCAGUAACGAAGCUAACGCGUGAAGUUGACCGCCUGGGGAGUACGGCCGCAAGGUUGAAACUCAAAUGAAUUGACGGGG